RNAcentral lists this transfer RNA (77 nucleotides) under Candidatus Saccharimonadota bacterium. RNAcentral describes it as "tRNA-His". It matches the Rfam family "tRNA". Rfam says of the family: Transfer RNA (tRNA) molecules are approximately 80 nucleotides in length. The record is from RNAcentral. Lineage: Bacteria; Candidatus Saccharimonadota.
GUGCCUGUAGCUUAGUUGGUUAAAGCGUCGGGUUGUGGUUCCGAAGAUCGAGGGUUCGAGUCCCUUCAGGCACCCCA